CCUAGGGUCCGGGAUAACCCCGGGAAACCGGGGAUAAUACCGGAUAGAUCACCUAUGCUGGAAGGGCUUGGUGGUUUAAAGGCAACGCCUUUGGAUGGGUCUGCGGCGGAUUAGGUUGACGCCGGUGUAAUGUACCGGCGUGCCUGUAAUCCGUACGGGUUGUGGGAGCAAGAGCCCGGAGAUGGAUUCUGAGACACGAAUCCAGGCCCUACGGGGCGCAGCAGGCGCGAAAACUCUACAAUGCAGGAGACUGCGAUAGGGGGACAUCGAGUGGCAUCCACCUUGGGUGCCUGUCCAACCGUCUAAAAAACGGUUGUUAGCAAGGGCCGGGUAAGACCGGUGCCAGCCGCCGCGGUAAUACCGGCGGCUCGAGUGGUGGCCGAUAUUAUUGAGUCUAAAGGGUCCGUAGCCGGCUUUGCAAGUCCCCUGGGAAAUCCAGCGGCUUAACCGUUGGGCUUUCAUGGGAUACUACAUUGCUUGGGACUGGGAGAGGUAGGAGGUACUCGGGGGGUAGGGGUGAAAUCCUGUAAUCCUCCGGGGACCACCGGUGGCGAAGGUGUCCUACCAGAACAGGUCCGACGGUGAGGGACGAAAGCUAGGGGCACGAACCGGAUUAGAUACCCGGGUAGUCCUAGCCGUAAACGAUGCCCGCUAGGUGUCACGACAGUCGUGAAUUGUCGUGGUGCCGUAGGGAAGCCGCGAAGCGGGCCACUUGGGAAGUACGACCGCAAGGUUGAAACUUAACCCUUAAC
This 752-nucleotide ribosomal RNA is filed under the name uncultured archaeon ST1-5. Its description in RNAcentral is "bacterial SSU rRNA". It matches the Rfam family "Archaeal small subunit ribosomal RNA", at positions 113 to 869 of the family's 1478-position model. The record is from RNAcentral.